Long non-coding RNA from Prinia subflava (tawny-flanked prinia), 2046 nucleotides. RefSeq lists it as uncharacterized. NCBI's taxonomy places the organism in Eukaryota, Metazoa, Chordata, Aves, Passeriformes, Cisticolidae. The record is from RefSeq and is a predicted model, not a curated record. The transcript has 2 exons.
AACCAAAGUCAGUUCUGUCAUUCUGCUGCACUGGAUAUAAUGCUUGACAGAUGGGCAUUUUGCCAAAAAAAAUCCAUUUGAUAAAUUCUGAAAUUUAAAAAAAAAGAAUAGUGAUAAAAUUUAACACUGAUUUAGAUGACAACUCAUGAGUUCACCUGCCAGUUUGGACAAAGUCAAAUUAUUGAAAAUAUCCACCUGGUGGAUUUGUAUCAUUAGAGGCCUUGUCACUGAAAAAAACUGACAGAUUCUUUUGUCUUUUUGUCAUAUGUCUGUGAUGUAUUUUAUUGCCUGUAGAUUCUUCUCCAGAAUAAACCUAUGGCAACAUCCAUGGGGUGGUAUGCACCACAUUAGAAAAAAAAAAAAUGAGCCUUUCUCAUGUUUUGCAUUGGUUCAGACAUAAAGCUCAUGGCACUGCACACAGACUUGGAAAACCACUUUUUUUUUUCUUUUUUCUUUUUUUUUAAUGUGUUCCAGCUUUGUCUUGAAGAGGAGAUACUCAGAAAAAGGGAAGCACCUUAAGCAAAGCAUGCUUAGCUAAAAAUUAUUUUUGUAUUGAUUUUUUGGACAUCGAGUACUUCUCAAAAAUUGGGAAAGAUUCUGUACAGUUAUUUUCCUGAGCACUAAUAGAAAAGACAAAAACAAUUCCCUUGCCUGCUUUAGGCACAGAAAGUAGCAAGGGGUGGUGAUUCCACCACUUCUCUGGCAGCCUGUUCCAAGCAUUUCUGUCAAGAAAAUAUUCCUGAAGUCCAAGCUGAACCUCCCCUGGCAUGGUUUGAGGCCGUUUCCCCUUGUCCUCUUGUUAUUUACCUGGGAGAAGAGCCUGACCCCUCCUGUCAAGGAACUGUAGAGAGCCACAGGGUUCCCCUGAGCCUCAUUUUCUCCAGGCUAAAGAAAAAUAAAGAACUCCUCUAAUUUUGAUGGAUGGAGAAUAUCUCCCUUCAGCAAAUAUGACUUCAUUUGGGAAAAAAAAAUCCCAUUUUUCUCCCUUCAGCUGCUGCAGUCACUGCUAAGUGACUCAUGACAGACAACACACCUAAGAACAAUUCCUCAUUUUGCUCAACAUAUGUAGUUUUGGUUACUAGGCAUGUCUAGUAACUAUAUCCCACUGAGCCUUGAGCAUCUAUUUUAAAGUAUCAACUGUGAAGUGGUUCUCAAGUGCUCACCUUUUUAUUUUAAGUAAUAACAAGUUGUCAAGCUCCAAGAGACACGAGUACAGCGAAAGCAAACCAACAAAUACACAAAGGCAGCUUUGAGGAGAUGAGCUAAAAUAUACUAGCCGGGGGAAUUUUAAGGUGUGUUUUUCCUGGUGACGAUGAAUUUCUCUCGGAAUAACCAAAACUGAGCGUGAAUAACACAUCGAUAUUUGCGAUGGUCACUGGGAGAAACGCUGUCAUUUGAGUGCCCUCUGCAGGACACUGCGUGGCGUCUCAACACCAGUAUUCCUUGUGUUUCAGCAUCUCUUAAGUAAGAGGGAAAAAAGGAGAGUAUUUUUAAUUAAAAUUCCACCACUCAAGGACUUUAAAAUAAGCCAAACCCACUGCAUUUAUGGAAAAAUGUGUGUAAUUUUAAGCAGGUGUAAAAAACCCGAACCCCUUGUCUUUAUGAAAACGUGUAGCUUUACGCAGGCAUAACUUCUUUCAGCUGAGGUAAGACAAAAUGCUUCCUGGAGAAAUACUGCUAUUGCAAAUUUUCGAAGUGAAAAACAGGUGCAGUGACGCAAUUAGGUGAGGUGUUUGGCUUAAAUGCUUUGGAUUACUGUGAAUUUUGAUUGCAUUUGAUGGAAUCAGAAAGCUCGUCCUAGCCUUGAGCUCAUUGUCUCUCCUGUGUCAGUCUCCUGCAUGGAUCUACAUACAGGAUCACUGUAUGCACUUUUUGUGGGCCUUUGGCAUGUGGAUGUUCUGCCAGCAUCUUUGAUCCCACUUAAAAAAAAGCAGACUGGCUCUGUCAGAACUGCCAAGGAGGUUUUUUUUUCAUCUGUUGAGAAUUUGGUUCCAUUUGUGUAACUCGUUCUGUUACUGGUAAUCAGGUACACAUAAGGCACUCUCA